RNAcentral lists this ribosomal RNA (253 nucleotides) under uncultured bacterium. RNAcentral's name for it is "partial 16S ribosomal RNA". It matches the Rfam family "Bacterial small subunit ribosomal RNA", at positions 524 to 776 of the family's 1533-position model. The record is from RNAcentral.
GACAGAGGGUGCAAACGUUGCUCGGAAUUACUGGGCGUAAAGCGCGUGUAGGCGGGCUUUCAAGUCAGAUGUGAAAUCCCUGGGCUCAACCCAGGAACUGCAUUUGAAACUGUGAGCCUUGAGUGUCGGAGAGGAAGGCGGAAUUCCUGGUGUAGAGGUGAAAUUCGUAGAUAUCAGGAGGAACACCGGUGGCGAAGGCGGCCUUCUGGACGACAACUGACGCUGAGACGCGAAAGCGUGGGGAGCAAACAGG